Molecule: RNA transcript, 1418 nt
Organism: Homo sapiens (human)
Lineage: Eukaryota; Metazoa; Chordata; Mammalia; Primates; Hominidae
Gene: CDK2AP1
Gene name: cyclin dependent kinase 2 associated protein 1
Exons: 4
Source: RefSeq, marked reviewed
CCUUUUUCCUCCGGCUUCUGGGCGGCUCGGCGAGGGCCCCUGCCGGCGGGAGUCGGGAGCGGCCCGGGCCGCGCCGGGAGCGGGGCGCGGGGCCCCGCCGCCCUGGGGAGCGGGGUCGUGAAGCAGCCCGGGCGGGGGGCGCUGCGGGCAGGGCCAGGACCCGCGCGGGCGGGCGCGGAUGGAGGGCUGCGGGGCUGCGGGGCUGCGGGGCUGCCGGGCUGCCGGGGGCCCUGAGGUCGCGGGGCCGCCGGGACUGGGACCAGGAUGGGGUCGCCGGCGGGCAGCGUACUCGGAGGCCCGGGGGCCUCGGCCGGGAGCGUGGGAGCAGGGGCUACCCCAUGCGGUCACGCGGGGACCCCCGUAAGCUGGGAGUGUCCACUCGCCUUCCACCAGCAUGGCAACGUCUUCACAGUACCGCCAGCUGCUCAGUGACUACGGGCCACCGUCCCUAGGCUACACCCAGGGAACUGGGAACAGCCAGGUGCCCCAAAGCAAAUACGCGGAGCUGCUGGCCAUCAUUGAAGAGCUGGGGAAGGAGAUCAGACCCACGUACGCAGGGAGCAAGAGUGCCAUGGAGAGGCUGAAGCGCGGCAUCAUUCACGCUAGAGGACUGGUUCGGGAGUGCUUGGCAGAAACGGAACGGAAUGCCAGAUCCUAGCUGCCUUGUUGGUUUUGAAGGAUUUCCAUCUUUUUACAAGAUGAGAAGUUACAGUUCAUCUCCCCUGUUCAGAUGAAACCCUUGUUUUCAAAAUGGUUACAGUUUCGUUUUUCCUCCCAUGGUUCACUUGGCUCUGAACCUACAGUCUCAAAGAUUGAGAAAAGAUUUUGCAGUUAAUUAGGAUUUGCAUUUUAAGUAGUUAGGAACUGCCCAGGUUUUUUUUGUUUUUUAAGCAUUGAUUUAAAAGAUGCACGGAAAGUUAUCUUACAGCAAACUGUAGUUUGCCUCCAAGACACCAUUGUCUCCCUUUAAUCUUCUCUUUUGUAUACAUUUGUUACCCAUGGUGUUCUUUGUUCCUUUUCAUAAGCUAAUACCACUGUAGGGAUUUUGUUUUGAACGCAUAUUGACAGCACGCUUUACUUAGUAGCCGGUUCCCAUUUGCCAUACAAUGUAGGUUCUGCUUAAUGUAACUUCUUUUUUGCUUAAGCAUUUGCAUGACUAUUAGUGCUUCAAAGUCAAUUUUUAAAAAUGCACAAGUUAUAAAUACAGAAGAAAGAGCAACCCACCAAACCUAACAAGGACCCCCGAACACUUUCAUACUAAGACUGUAAGUAGAUCUCAGUUCUGCGUUUAUUGUAAGUUGAUAAAAACAUCUGGAAGAAAAUGACUAAAACUGUUUGCAUCUUUGUAUGUAUUUAUUACUUGAUGUAAUAAAGCUUAUUUUCAUUAACAAUUUGUAUUAAAAUGUGGGUUCCUUGAA